Long non-coding RNA from Pomacea canaliculata, 1712 nucleotides. RefSeq lists it as uncharacterized. NCBI's taxonomy places the organism in Eukaryota, Metazoa, Mollusca, Gastropoda, Architaenioglossa, Ampullariidae. The record is from RefSeq and is a predicted model, not a curated record. The transcript has 3 exons.
UCAUCUUUUUCUAUUUUCAAAGUGCACGUGCAUGCACACGCCCACGCGCAGUCACGACAUUUACCUGUAACGGGCACGUGGGUGGAAGGGCUUCCUGCUGUCAGUGGCGAGGAUGACGGUCAACGCCACAGCAUCCGCGAGAUUUCAUGCAUAAGGAGGCAACUCGCAAACCUCUCAGAGAGAAAAAGAGAGAUACCCGGAGUUUCCGUCACAAGCCGUUAGCACGUGAACGUUGAAUCAGCUCAACCGUGACGCUCGUGACGUGGAGGAUACGCCGUCUUGACGAGCGACUUGAUUGCUCGUACAAUCGUUCGUUCCACACGUUGCUUUCAACUACCCGAGGUGACAGCCUAUAAUAGAUUAGAAGACGGAAGCGAAGUAAUCUGAGCAUUUCAAAACACCUACCGACCUGCUCAGGUGCAUGAAGGUGCGAACAGAAAUUUCGUAGCUGUGCCUCCUGACAAUAAGUGUGAGUAGACAGGCUUGUGGUACACACCUGUGGGCUUACCAUCGGAGGUCAAGCAGAACGCUCCUAGCCACCUCCGCUCGUUUUCUUCUGUACUUUCUUUUAAACUAAGUCUUCAAGAGCAGCAAAUGUAUCGCGGUAGAGGAAGAACGAGGUUGGAAAUUUGAGUAAAUUAUAAUUAUUUCCAAAAUGUUUGUAGAAAGGAGUCAUUGUUUGGUUAUUAUCCAUAUGAUUCAUUAUUAUGUAUCAUUCCUUCUCAAUUGAUCUCUCUCUCUCCCCCACACACACACCGUCUCACCCACACACCCAUCCACCCACACAUUCUACAUUCGCUACUACAUAUCCACCUACCCCUACCCUCCCACCUCUCUACCCAUCCACCUACCCCCGUAACCAUCAACUCACAUAACCACCCACACAAUUUUCUCUUUUCACAGGCUCAGCGACACACUAUCCACGCACUUACCCACCCACUUAUAUAAGCCCACUCACUGCAUGUUUGUCAAAGACUAGUGACUACAAGACCAAAUAAGACAUUUGUUUCGUCACAAACGCUUGAUUCUAGUCAUGUACAUAACAACAACAAGGAUAACAAUAACAAAAUACCAACGAAUAACAACGCUGAGGUGCAAGUGUAGUUUGAUCUGAACAUUUUCAAUUUAUUUUCUGAUUUCUGCACGCUCGGGUACUUGCGACUUGUUUGCCUGAUUUUCUGUGAUGCCGUGAGCUCGAAAUAUUUCUUCCUCUUUCUCUUAGCAGCCAGGGCUGCCUUAUAAACUACAGUCAUUCGUUCAUUUUGUUGUUGUUGUUGUUGUUGUUGUUGUUCUAGUGAUCUAGCUGGCCGUACUAUUGAUUAAAAAUUUUUUCUCUAUAAAUCUCGUAUCAUACUAUGCUAGACACACUAAACUCACCCAAAUGACACUAAAUACCAUGGUUACCAGAGUCGUACUCGCUAACAAACGGGUACAACAGGAUUUUCAUACCUUGAACUCUCACGAUGUUAAAAAAAAAAAAAAAAAAAAAAAAAAAAAAAAAAAAAUACAAGAAAAUAGAGGUUUCUAAUAACAAGAAGGUUGGAAGUCGCCUCCUAUUAGACUCUCAUUAAACACCAGCUCCACUCUGCUGUUCCGUCGUUGCCAGCUGAUUCUGUCAUUUCAGUCUGUGUAGACGAAGCUGUAGUCACCAGCGGCGAGGUUGUUUACACAAGACAUAAAAAAUGGAAAAAAAAAAAGAAUAAUUCACAACA